Molecule: ribosomal RNA, 811 nt
Filed under: uncultured archaeon
Lineage: Archaea
Description: bacterial SSU rRNA
Rfam family: Archaeal small subunit ribosomal RNA
Source: RNAcentral
ACGGCUCAGUAACACGUGGCUAACCUACCCUUGAGACGGAGACAACCCCGGGAAACUGGGGACAAUCCCAGAUAGAUGAGAACUCCUGGAAUGGGCUCUCGUCCAAAAGGCACCGCGAUCAUGCUUCUCGGUGUCGCUCAAGGAUGGGGCCGCGGCCGAUCAGGCUGUUGGUGAGGCAACGGCUCACCAAACCUAUAACCGGUACGGGCCGUGGGAGCGGGAGCCCGGAGAUGGGAACUGAGACAAGGUCCCAGGCCCUACGGGGCGCAGCAGUUGCGAAAACUCCGCAAUGCACGAAAGUGUGACGGGGCUACCCCGAGUGCUGUCCGCUGAGGAUGGCUUUUCCCCGGUGUAAGGAGCCGGGGGAAUAAGGAGAGGGCAAGUCUGGUGUCAGCCGCCGCGGUAAUACCAGCUCUCCGAGUGGUAGGGAUGUUUAUUGGGCUUAAAGCGUCCGUAGCUGGCUUUUCAAGUCUCUCGUUAAAUCCAGCGAUUCAAUCGUUGGACUGCGGGAGAUACUGUUGGGCUUGGGGGCGGGAGAAGCCGACGGUAUUUCCGGUGUAGGGGUAAAAUCCUAUAAUCCCGGGAGGACCACCAGUGGCGUAGGCGGUCGGCUAGCACGCGCCCGACGGUGAGGGACGAAAGCUGGGGGAGCAAACCGGAUUAGAUACCCGGAUAGUCCCAGCUGUAAACGAUGCGAGCUAGGUGUUGGAGCGGUCACGAGCCGCUUCAGUGCCGCAGGGAAGCCAUUAAGCUUGCCGCCUGGGGAGUACGGCCGCAAGGCUGAAACUUAAAGGAAUUGGCGGGGGAGCAC